GAACGCUAGCUACAGGCUUAACACAUGCAAGUCGAGGGGCAUCAGGAAGAAAGCUUGCUUUCUUUGCUGGCGACCGGCGCACGGGUGAGUAACACGUAUCCAACCUGCCCUUUACUCGGGGAUAGCCUUUCGAAAGAAAGAUUAAUACCCGAUAGCAUAAUGAUUCCGCAUGGUUUCAUUAUUAAAGGAUUCCGGUAAAGGAUGGGGAUGCGUUCCAUUAGGUUGUUGGUGAGGUAACGGCCCACCAAGCCUUCGAUGGAUAGGGGUUCUGAGAGGAAGGUCCCCCACAUUGGAACUGAGACACGGUCCAAACUCCUACAGGAGGCAGCAGUGAGGAAUAUUGGUCAAUGGGCGCUAGCCUGAACCAGCCAAGUAGCGUGAAGGAUGAAGGCUCUAUGGGUCGUAAACUUCUUUUAUAUAAGAAUAAAGUGCACUAUGUAUACUGUUUUGUAUGUAUUAUAUGAAUAAGGAUCGGCUAACUCCGUGCCAGCAGCCGCGGUAAUACGGAGGAUCCGAGCGUUAUCCGGAUUUAUUGGGUUUAAAGGGAGCGUAGGUGGACUGGUAAGUCAGUUGUGAAAGUUUGCGGCUCACCCGUAAAAUUGCAGUUGAUACUGUCAGUCUUGAGUACAGUAGAGGUGGGCGGAAUUCGUGGUGUAGCGGUGAAAUGCUUAGAUAUCACGAAGAACUCCGAUUGCGAAGGCAGCUCACUGGACUGCAACUGACACUGAUGCUCGAAAGUGUGGGUAUCAAACAGGAUUAGAUACCCUGGUAGUCCACACAGUAAACGAUGAAUACUCGCUGCUUGCGAUAUACAGUAAGCGGCCAAGCGAAAGCAUUAAGUAUUCCACCUGGGGAGUACGCCGGCAACGGUGAAACUCAAAGGAAUUGACGGGGGCCCGCACAAGCGGAGGAACAUGUGGUUUAAUUCGAUGAUACGCGAGGAACCUUACCCGGGCUUAAAUUGCAGUGGAAUGAUGUGGAAACAUGUCAGUGAGCAAUCACCGCUGUGAAGGUGCUGCAUGGUUGUCGUCAGCUCGUGCCGUGAGGUGUCGGCUUAAGUGCCAUAACGAGCGCAACCCUUAUCUUUAGUUACUAACAGGUUAUGCUGAGGACUCUGGAGAGACUGCCGUCGUAAGAUGUGAGGAAGGUGGGGAUGACGUCAAAUCAGCACGGCCCUUACGUCCGGGGCUACACACGUGUUACAAUGGGGGGUACAGAAGGCAGCUAGCGGGUGACCGUAUGCUAAUCCCAAAAGCCUCUCUCAGUUCGGAUCGAAGUCUGCAACCCGACUUCGUGAAGCUGGAUUCGCUAGUAAUCGCGCAUCAGCCACGGCGCGGUGAAUACGUUCCCGGGCCUUGUACACACCGCCCGUCAAGCCAUGGGAGCCGGGGGUACCUGAAGUACGUAACCGCAAGGAUCGUCCUAGGGUAAAACUGGUGACUGGGG
This 1446-nucleotide ribosomal RNA is filed under the name uncultured organism. Its description in RNAcentral is "SSU rRNA". It matches the Rfam family "Bacterial small subunit ribosomal RNA". The record is from RNAcentral.